AGGUGAGAUUCUUUAUCCUAAAAUUUUCUCCAUGUAUUAUUGAUGUUUGCUAAUUUUGGCUAAUAAUAGAAUUAUUGUUACACAUUGCUUGAAUAAGUAUGUUGUUGUGUGAACUUUGCCCUCAAUUCUUGAUAUAGAUUUCAUUGCAUUUUGGAUGAGACUUAAGACUUCAAAUUGAAAUGGAUCUUACACCAUUUAGCUUUUCAUUGUUAAGAAGAAUCAUGACAUGUUUCAUACAAUCUUAGUGUGAUACCUAUUCAGUUUUUUCAUUGUUUCUUUUGGUAUGGUAUGCAUGCACUAUUAAGAAGAAUCAUGUCAUGUUUCAUACAAAGUUUUCAAAUGGAAUUUCAUAGAAGCAUUUGAUUAUAAUUGAACUUUUGGCCUGCCUUUAAUGCAGGCAACUAGCUUUCU
This 411-nucleotide long non-coding RNA is filed under the name Trifolium pratense (red clover). RNAcentral describes it as "long non-coding RNA (TPRA_LNC011583)". Lineage: Eukaryota; Viridiplantae; Streptophyta; Magnoliopsida; Fabales; Fabaceae. The record is from RNAcentral.